RNAcentral lists this long non-coding RNA (348 nucleotides) under Elaeis guineensis (African oil palm). RNAcentral's name for it is "long non-coding RNA (EGUI_LNC064321)". Lineage: Eukaryota; Viridiplantae; Streptophyta; Magnoliopsida; Arecales; Arecaceae. The record is from RNAcentral.
UAACUCGCUGUAGGUGAAAUUGUCUAGGUGAGUAGCCUUCUAAUUAAAACCAUCGAUCGAGAUUUUCCUGAGACACCAAAUGGCUUAUUGAUUUCUGUUGGGUAUAAAAUAACCCCAGCCGAAGUUCGUAAGAGGCCAACCCUCCCAAGACUCUUCCAGCUUCCGACCUUGUGCGGUGUCUUUCUGAACUCCUCCGACCAUUCGAGCUUCCACAGUACCAUCCAGACUCCUCCAGCAGUCGCCCUUCCACAGUGUCCUCCAAAUUCCUCCAACGGAUGAACUCCUAUCGUACGCUCCAAACUUCUCCAAUAAUGAGCUCCUUCAUUCAUCUAUCAGACUGAUCCAAAU